AUAUAGCAGAAUAUAAUUUCUUCGGGAGGCAAUUAAAAGGAAAAAGAUGGAGCAGCUCCUGCAACACCAUACAUGUUCAAGUGUGUUGCUUCUGGAUUGAUUCAUCCACACAGUGGUGGAUCUAAUCCAACCAAUAAUUUUUCGAUCAUUUCGGUGGUCAAGAUGGUGGCCCAUUUUUACGUGCACCGGUUCCAUUUGGG
This 200-nucleotide long non-coding RNA is filed under the name Elaeis guineensis (African oil palm). RNAcentral's name for it is "long non-coding RNA (EGUI_LNC001619)". Lineage: Eukaryota; Viridiplantae; Streptophyta; Magnoliopsida; Arecales; Arecaceae. The record is from RNAcentral.